UACGUAGGGGGCGAGCGUUGUCCGGAAUCAUUGGGCGUAAAGCGCGUGUAGGCGGCUGGUUAGGUGUGAUGUGAAAUCCUCGGGCUCAACCCGAGAACUGCAUUGCAAACCGGCCUGGCUAGAGUGCAGGAGAGGGAAGCGGAAUUCCAGGUGUAGCGGUGAAAUGCGUAGAUAUCUGGAGGAACGCCAGUGGCGAAGGCGGCUUCCUGGCCUGUAACUGACGCUGAGACGCGAAAGCGUGGGGAGCGAACCGG
Molecule: ribosomal RNA, 254 nt
Filed under: uncultured bacterium
Lineage: Bacteria
Description: partial 16S ribosomal RNA
Rfam family: Bacterial small subunit ribosomal RNA
Source: RNAcentral